Molecule: long non-coding RNA, 2530 nt
Organism: Venturia canescens
Lineage: Eukaryota; Metazoa; Arthropoda; Insecta; Hymenoptera; Ichneumonidae
Exons: 5
Source: RefSeq, a predicted model, not a curated record
ACGGUAUGGGAUCGAUCGUUUGGAAAUAAAUUUCCCUUUAUCUCUACCGUGAGUGGCGUGAAUGUUAUGCCGGAUCAUUUUGUUGACAUAAUAACCGUUCAUUGACAUUACCGUUCAAAAAUCAUUAUAACAUUUCUUAAUAAUAUUAUGGUACAUAUAAUUGCCUGUGGUAAUUUCUUUCAAAAAAUAUGGUCAAAGACUGUCCAUUGACUAGUACGACCCGCUUUAACAUCCUUAAAUUUCGUGGUUAGUUUUUCAGUCUGGAGACCGUUUUAAAAAUAGCGAAUGAAGAAAAUUUAUGAAAUAAAGGGACGAUAAAUGAUAUGCGUGCGUGUGUGUAAAUGUGGCAAUCGUGUUUCUCCAAGCCUGUUCUCGAAAAUUAAAUAUUUAAAAUUCAAUAAAAGAGUAAUAACCUAUUUCCCCAAUUGUUGAUAAUUUCAUACAUUUUACGACGUUCAAUUAUGUUUUUAGAGUACGAGGCACUAAGGAAUCUACCGAAUUUAUUCCGGCACCGAAUAAUCAUUCAACAAAUAGAUAUCCUUAUCAAUUUCCUGAAUAAAACAAACAAAACCGCAAACACAUGCUGUACAUGCAUGUGGGAUUAGCAGCUACAGCAGUCGACAAAUGAUAAACCGAUCAAUCAACAAUAAACCUACAUUUUAUACUAAUAUAUUUUAACGUUUUCCAAGCAAGCUAUCGAUCAGAUAAAAUGAACUGCCGGACUGAACGAUUGCUACAAAAGAUUAAUGGCCAUUUUCUCCGACGCGGUUCAAACUCAGUUCAAUUUUUUUUAUAUAGUUUCGAGAUAGGAUGAAUCGAGUUUAAACUCAGAUUAACACUGGAGAAAACGGGCAUAAAAGUUUUAUCCCUUUUCACCAGCCAAGAUGCUAAGGAUUGAUUAAAAUCAGAUAUAAGGAACGAAAAUGUAGGCGAAAAAUACUGGAGCAAAAUGCAGGAUUACGAGCCAGCAUGCCUGCGUUUCACUCAUCAGCUGGUCUACGAUUACGUGAAAAAAGUUUACUAUUUGUUCGGAGACAGCAUCGAGACUCUCUAGUAUCUUCAAAAUGAAGUUUCCGAUAUCAUCGAUCACGAUGACGGGCAACAAACCAAAGAGGUUUUUUUAUUUAUUGAUUUCAACUACUGGCAUCCGUUAUAUUCCGGGAACAGGAGUCAGCCCGAAACAUCGAUUUAUCGUCGUCUUCGAGCACCGAGGAUUCCGAAACAUUUGAAAAAAACGCAAGAAAACUUCACGUCCGUCGAGCCGAAUUGUAUGAUAAGUUGACGAAAUUUUUUUCCGAAUUGCUCACGCAGCCUCAAGAUAAUUUAAUUGCUUUAUUGCCAUUAUGAUGAACGAGUGAAACCGGUGAGAUUUUUUAUGAGCCAUUUUCUCGCUUCUCUGCCUUCACUUUCAAAGAAAUAUAAAUCUCAAGUACAAAAUAAAAUGAAAAAGACAGAAAUUCCUGCACAUAAGAGAAGCAAAAUUGUAAGGGCACGAGAGCUUUUUUCGUCCAAAGCAACCUUGCUUUACAUGAUUUUAAGCGAAAAAAAAAGAAAAACAGUAUAAAUAUUUGAUAAUUCAACAAUCCAAAAUCAACUGGUUAUCGCAAUAUUUGUUUCAAUCAUUUACUAAUAUCUUUCGUUGUACUUGAAGAAGAAACUAAAAAAUUUGAAUUCGAGUCAAAAAAAUUCUCAUUUCUUUUCGCUGGGCUACUCGUUUUUUUUUUUUAAUUUUGUAAAGACGAAAAAUUAUUGGAAUACAUUUAUAUUUUGGACUUAUCAUUCAAAAAAAAAUUUUUUUCUAAAUAGGGUAGUCAACAACUCAUUGUCAAUCGCCAAUCGAAUUUGGAGUAGAGGAAAUUAGCGAGCGGUUCAAAAGAAGCAGUCACUGCGUGGCUCAAGAAUGUCCAAAUUUGUUGCGUAAAGAUCUUCUGGAGUUGUUCCCUGGCUGUGUCGAAGUGGCCUCACCGCAGUUUACCAUUAUAACUGUUAGUCAAAAAUUAAGUGAUCAAAGUCACCCGUGGAGCAAGGAAAUGGAAACUGAGAAGCUGGCUAUAUCCCUAUGUUUUACACCGUUCCAAGAGCUAUAGCAACAACCGAGCGAGGUUCGUUCGGGGCUGGUUUUAACAGCGGCUAUUACAUCCGAUCAAGAAACUGAAGAACGUCGGUUGGAAGCUGGUGCUAUGGUUUUUAUGACUGCUGUAACUGCCAACCAUUGAAUUACGAAGAUGCACAAUCCGAGGUUCAGCCUCCACCCUUCUACAAGGACGUUUCAUCGUAAAUCAAGCUGAUCUGGAUAACACGAGCUGGCGUCAAUCCAAAUUGGGAACUCAUAUCACCAAAAGGAUUUAUAGUUUAUACUACCGCUCAAAAGUUUGGGGACGCACGUUGAAAUUUCUUGACGUACCAAAUGUUAAAUUGUUUAAUCGAAAAAAGAGAUAACGGAAUUUUGCGAACGGCAUUUUAAAGGAGACACAUGCAGCUUCAAUUUGCGCCUUAAUAAAAUCUUUUUCAAUUUUUUUUCGGUUCGGUA